CAUUCUGGGAAGGACAGAGAGGGACAAUCAUGGUGCGUUCAAGACAACUGGGAACUCUGGGAAAAUGAAAAUAUCUCAGACUGGGAAAAAUCACAACAUCAGUGAUCUUCAAGUCAGAGAAGUUGGAGCUCUAGGAUGAUGCCCGAGUUUCCAACUUGUAAUUCUGAGAUGACCGUUCAAAGUGAUUUUUUCCCAGUCAGCAGAGUUUCCUGUUGUCUUGAACGCACUGAAGUCAGAGACUGUGUUCAUUUUGGCAGCCAUUUUAGAUUUAGUUUGAGUCUGACAAAUAGCUUUUAGUCAUUUUGUCCUUCUUAGUUUCAGUUUUGUCAGUCAACUAAAACUCUGUCUAGUCUAGUUUCAUGCAGUCAUUUUAGUCAAUGCAUUUUCCAUUAAAUCAUUCAUAUAUAGGCUACCUCGAACUUCCAUUAUGUGCAUAUUCAGCCUUGUCCAAAUAGGCUUACUAGUAUACACUGAGUAUACAAAACAUUAGGAACACCUGCUCUUUCCAUGACAUGGACUGACCAGGUGAAAGCUAUGAUCCCUUAUUGAUGUAACUUGUUAAAUCCACUUCAAUCAGCGUAGAUGAAGAGGGAGGAGACAGGUUAAACAAGGAUUUUAAAGGCUUGAGACAUGAAUUGUCUAUGUGUGCCUUUCAGAGGGUGAAUGGGCAAGAUUUAAGUGCCUUUGAACGGGGUAUGGUAGUAGGUGCCAGGCACACCGGUUUGUGCCAAGAACUGCAAUUCUGUUGGGUUUCUAACACUCUGUUUCCUUUGUGUAUCAAGAAACCACCCAAAAGACAUCCAGCCAACUUGACACAACUGUGGAAAGCAUUGGAGUCACCAUGGUCCAGCAUCCCUGUGGAACGCUCCUGACACCUUGAAGAGGGCACGGCACCAACAAAUAACUUAGCUGGCAACAUGGCUAUUGUGUCAGUAACCACAGCCAUCAUUAACCACAGGCUACAAAUACAAAGCCUUGGAUACAGGUUAAAGGUGACAGGCAAAAAGAUUCACAAUUGAGAGCAUCCUGUCGGGCUGUAUCACCUAGUACAGCAACUGCACCGCCCGCAACCCCAGGGCUCUCCAGAGUGUGAUGUGGUCUGCCAAACGCAUCACCAGUGUCAAACUACCUGCCUCUACCUACAGCACCUGAUGUUACAGAUCAGAAAGGACAACAACCACCCGAGCCACUGCCUGUUCACCCUGCUAUCAUCCAAAAGUGGAAGGACCACCAGAGGACAGGCUGGGCUCACGGAUAGUAGCCCAACAAGACAACCAGAGGGCAGGCUGGGCUCACGGAUAGUAGCCCAACAAGGCAACCAGAGGGCAGGCUGGGCUCACGGAUCGUAGCCCAACAAGGCAACCAGAGGGCAGGCUGGGCUCACGGAUAGCAUCCCAACAAGGCAACCAGAGGGCAGGCUGGGCUCAUGGAUAGCAGCCCAACAAGGCAACCAGAGGGCAGGCUGGGCUCAUGGAUAGCAGCCCAACAAGGCAACCAGAGGGCAGGCUGGGCUCAUGGAUAGCAGCCCAACAAGGCAACCAGAGGGCAGGCUGGGCUCAUGGAUAGCAGCCCAACAAGGCAACCAGAGGGCAGGCUGGGCUCACGGAUAGCAGCCCAACAAGGCAUGGGAGACAAGGUAACCAGAGGGCAGGCUGGGCUCACGGAUAGCAGCCCAACAAGGCAACCAGAGGGCAGGCUGAUCUCACAGAUAGCAGCCCAACAAGGCAACCAGAGGGCAGGCUGGGCUCAUGGAUAGCAGCCCAACAAGGCAACCAGAGGGCAGGCUGGGCUCAUGGAUAGCAGCCCAACAAGGCAACCAGAGGGCAGGCUGGGCUCAUGGAUAGCAGCCCAACAAGGCAACCAGAGGGCAGGCUGGGCUCAUGGAUAGCAGCCCAACAAGGCAACCAGAGGGCAGGCUGGGCUCAUGGAUAGCAGCCCAACAAGGCAACCAGAGGGCAGGCUGGGCUCAUGGAUAGCAGCCCAACAAGGCAACCAGAGGGCAGGCUGGGCUCACGGAUAGCAGCCCAACAAGGCAACCAGAGGGCAGGCUGAUCUCACAGAUAGCAGCCCAACAAGGCAACCAGAGGGCAGGCUGGGCUCAUGGAUAGCAGCCCAACAAGGCAACCAGAGGGCAGGCUGGGCUCAUGGAUAGCAGCCCAACAAGGCAACCAGAGGGCAGGCUGGGCUCAUGGAUAGCAGCCCAACAAGGCAUGGGAGACAAGGUAACCAGAGGGCAGGCUGGGCUCAUGGAUAGCAGCCCAACAAGGCAACCAGAGGGCAGGCUGGGCUCAUGGAUAGUAGCCCAACAAGGCAUGGGAGACAAGGUAACCAGAGGGCAGGCUGGGCUCACGGAUAGCAGCCCAACAAGGCAUGGGAGACAAGGCAACCAGAGGGCAGGCUGGGCUCAUGGAUAGCAGCCCAACAAGGCAACCAGAGGGCAGGCUGGGCUCAUGGAUAGUAGCCCAACAAGGCAUGGGAGACAAGGUAACCAGAGGGCAGGCUGGGCUCAUGGAUAGUAGCCCAACAAGGCAUGGGAGACAAGGUAACCAGAGUCAAUUAACUACAGCUGACGGUACUAAUGACAUUCUCCUUCCCCUAUAAGAGAGAGAAUGGAACCAGCAGAGAGGAGGGGGGGAAAACUAUCUCUGGAAGAUGGCCACCGAGAGAUAGAAGCCAUCCAUGAAGAACCACUAAGAUGGUGACAAUCCCGUGACUUUUGUUGUAGUUUAAAGAGAAUCCUAUUGUGUUCCUGUUUCAUCUGGAGAAGAAGAUGCAUGUUUUUCCUUGGGAGAUUUCCAUUGAUUAUGUUGGAGUGUUUGUGUUGACCAAAUGCCCUCAAUAGAGAACUGUGUUCAAUCAAGAAAACCUACUCCUGACUUGUUUAUUCCACCUUUCCUCUUUCGAGAGAUGCCCAAUGACUUGGUCCGCCCACACUGCAUACGAGUCAUCAUUAUUGACUUACAUGUGUAUUUCUUCAGAUAUACGAGUGUCUAAUGGCUUCGUUUCUGAUAGAGAAAACGACUCAUACAAGCCCUGUCUGUAGCUUGUGUUCCUUUGCAGUUGACCACUGGCCUAUUCAUUAAGCCCUCAAAUUAUGUAUUUUUCUGGCCAGAGAAUGACAUCCUUAUUUUAUUUUACCUUUAUUUAACUGGGCAAGUCAGUUAAGAACAAAUUCUUAUUUUCAAUGACGGCCUAGGAACAGUUAUUUAAUGAAGCCUAAAAUAUAAUAAUUAUUCAGCGUCACAGUUUGUGGGGGAGACCUUUGCCCGUCACCUUAUCAGUUUACAGCUGAUUGUCCCCCCAUCAUACCAGGGUUAAAUAGCAUUGGAUCAGUUUACAGCUGAUUGUCCCCCAUCAUACCAGGGUUAAAUAGCAUUGGAUCAGUUUACAGCUGAUUGUCCCCCAUCAUACCAGGGUUAAAUAGCAUUGGAUCAGUUUACAGCUGAUUGUCCCCCCCAUCAUACCAGCCGUUAGGGGGUUAAAUAGCAUUGGAUCAGUUUACAGCUGAUUGUCCCCCAUCAUACCAGCCAUUAGGGGGUUAAAUAGCAUUGGAUCAGUUUACAGCUGAUUGUCCCCCCCAUCAUACCAGGGUUAAAUAGCAUUGGAUCAGUUUACAGCUGAUUGUCCCCCAUCAUACCAGGGUUAAAUAGCAUUGGAUCAGUUUACAGCUGAUUGUCCCCCAUCAUACCAGCCGUAGGGGGUUAAAUAGCAUUGGAUCAGUUUACAGCUGAUUGUCCCCCAUCAUACCAGCCAUUAGGGGUUAAAUAGCAUUGGAUCAGUUUACAGCUGAUUGUCCCCCCAUCAUACCAGGGUUAAAUAGCAUUGGAUCAGUUUACAGCUGAUUGUCCCCCAUCAUACCAGCCGUUAGGGGUUAAAUAG
Long non-coding RNA from Oncorhynchus masou masou (cherry salmon), 3879 nucleotides. RefSeq lists it as uncharacterized. The record is from RefSeq and is a predicted model, not a curated record. The transcript has 3 exons. NCBI's taxonomy places the organism in Eukaryota, Metazoa, Chordata, Actinopteri, Salmoniformes, Salmonidae.